GAAGGAAGCGAGGUCGAUCCAAAGCAGCACAGUUCACUCUGAAGUUUUUUAUGACUGACUCUAUGAACAGAGCACAUGAUUUAUAUGGAUAAGAAGUCUGCAAUUGGCCACACCUGAGGCAUGUGGCAGUUCCCAGCCAUCAUCACAGCAACUUAGAAUCCAAGCCCUCUCUGCAAACUACACCAGAGCUCAUAGCAACGCUGGAUCCUUAACCCACUGAGUGAGGCCAGUGAUUGAACCUGCAUCCUCAUGGAUAACCAGGUGGCUCUGUGAUCUAGUUCUGGGUACACUGAGACAUGAGCUGAAGUCUACUAGAAGUUUUUGCUUCAGUGAUACAGGUGCUCCUCCUUUCUGGCUCAACCUUCCCCCUAUAUGGAAGGUGGAUGUGAUGGCAGGAGCUAUUAUAGCUCUCUUAGAACCAUGAGGAAAAGGCUAAGAAAAUUUUAAAGAGCCUCCAGCCUUGACAGCCUGAACCUUUAUCAGUGAUCGCCUAUUUCUGGACUUCUUCACACAGGAGAAAAAUAAAGCUUUAUGUGUUUAGAUAAAUGUCAUCAGGAGUCUUUACUCACAGGGGAAUGCAACUCCUCACUAUUAGAGUAGGAAUUUGAAUUUAGGUUCUCAGUUUCCAGCUCUGUAAAUCUUGCUAUUACCUCUUUUAGAUUAUGGUGUAUGCUAAUCCUAGACUAUAAACUUGACUCGUUCCUAGUCCUAGUACCCAUGAAAAUAACAUUCAACAUCAAGUCUUAGAGCAUGAAAAAAAGGGUAGUGUCACAUCUUGAAUUUUAAUUGGUUACCUCUAUAACCUUUAGCAACAAAACUGAGUAGCCAAAGGCUGUUUUUAGCAUUUCUCACCACUUUUUUUUUUUUCCUUAUCCAAUGAGCUUAUUUUGCCUCCUGGCACUCUGUAACCUUUGGUAUCUAGCAUUCUACUCCUAUCUAGGCCUGCCCUUUGCUAAGGGCUCUAAGCUCUCAGUUACAUUCUCUUCCACCUCUCCACCACCAAGCAAAGCUGAUGUGAUUAGAGGAGAAAUAUAGACCUGCUGUCAUGGAAGUAAUUUAUGGGGAUGUAAGCAUCAUUUUAAGAAAAUAUUUGCAUUUUGUAAGAGGGACCUGUAAAUCCAGUUGAACCUCUCAAGUUGGAAAGCACUGAAAAAAUCAUUUGCGAGUGAGAGGUUGCUCUGGUAUUCCUCAUCUAAUCCAAGCAGCCACUCUUAUCGCCAGCUCAGCCCCUUUAACUUCUUCCUCAUAUACCCUCCACCCUCAGCCAGCACAGGCAGCAACACAGCACCAAGCAGGGGUUUGGUGCUCAGUUUGAAGACCUUCCUAGUCCUAGAAUUAGAAGAACCUGAAAAAGAAUGGAUGUGGGUAUAUGUAUAACUGAAUCACUGUUGUACAGCAGAAAUUAUCAUAAUAUUUUAAAUCAACUAUACUUCAAUAAAGCUUAAAACAGGGAUGGCAAGGAAUGUUUUUUGGUGAUAAUUCUAUACAUUUAAAAAAUAUUGGAGUUCCCACUGUGGCACAGCAGGUUAAGGAUCCAGUGUUGUCUCCGUGGUGGCUUGGGUUUGAUCCCCAGCCCAGUGCAGUGGAUUAAGGAUCUGGAGUUGCUGCCGCUCUGGUGUAGCUUACAGCUGGGGUUCAUAUUUGAUCCCUGGCCUGGGAAUUUACAUAUGCCGCAGGUACAGCCAAACAAAACAAAACAAAAGCAAAAAAAAAAAAAAAAACCAAAACAAAAAGACAAAAAUAUCUACAUUAGUAGAUAUUUUAACUAUUAAUAUAAAUUGGGCAAUUAAGUUUUUCAUGUUUUAAUGUUUCUUUGACAUCCUGUAAAUCCUGUAAUAAAUAUUCUUCC
Molecule: long non-coding RNA, 1849 nt
Filed under: Sus scrofa (pig)
Lineage: Eukaryota; Metazoa; Chordata; Mammalia; Artiodactyla; Suidae
Description: lncRNA (ENSSSCG00060027686.1)
Source: RNAcentral